UACGUAGGGUGCAGGCGUUAAUCGGAAUUACUGGGCGUAAAGCGCACGUAGGCGGCUUUGUAAGUUAGAGGUGAAAGCCCAGGGCUUAACCCUGGAAUUGCCUUUAAGACUGCAUCGCUAGAAUUGUGGAGAGGUAAGUGGAAUUCCGAGUGUAGAGGUGAAAUUCGUAGAUAUUCGGAAGAACACCAGUGGCGAAGGCGACUUACUGGACACAUAUUGACGCUGAGGUGCGAAAGCGUGGGGAGCAAACAGG
This 253-nucleotide ribosomal RNA is filed under the name uncultured bacterium. RNAcentral's name for it is "partial 16S ribosomal RNA". It matches the Rfam family "Bacterial small subunit ribosomal RNA", at positions 524 to 776 of the family's 1533-position model. The record is from RNAcentral.